This 404-nucleotide unclassified non-coding RNA is filed under the name soil metagenome. RNAcentral describes it as "partial contains 5.8S ribosomal RNA, internal transcribed spacer 2, and large subunit ribosomal RNA". The stretch from base 1 to 122 matches the Rfam family "5.8S ribosomal RNA", at positions 35 to 154 of the family's 154-position model. The record is from RNAcentral.
GAUGAAGAACGUAGCAAAAUGCGAUACUUGGUGUGAAUUGCAGAAUCCCGUGAACCAUCGAGUUUUUGAACGCAAGUUGCGCCCGAAGCCUUUUGGCCGAGGGCACGUCUGCCUGGGCGUCACGCAUCGCGUCGCCCCCCACAAUUCUCCGUAAAAGGAACAUGUGUUUUGGGGGCGGAUAUUGGUCUCCCGUGCUCAUGGCGUGGUUGGCCGAAAUAGGAGUCCUUUCGAUGGACGCACGAACUGGUGGUGGUCGUAAAAACCCUCGUCUUUUGUUUCGUGCUGUUGCUCGCAAGGUAAACUCUUUAAAAACCCCAAUGUGUCGUCUCUUGACGACGCUUCGACCGCGACCCCAGGUCAGGCGGGACUACCCGCUGAGUUUAAGCAUAUCAAUAAGCGGAGGA